CAGUCGGUCUCUGCACAUUGUCGGGGAAGAAGCUCUGCCUUGAAGAGGACUUUAUCAGAGAAACUGGUUGGGGGCUGUCCGCCUUGGAGACUAUAAGCUAACAGGGGUAGAGCCUGGUACUUAAAGAUUACCUCAGUAUGAAAACUUCUGAUGAAGAUUGUCAACAAAAGACACCUCCUUAUUGCCCAACUGGUGGAGAAUGUGGUCAUUCUGAACCCUCCCUCCAAGGGUGGAAAAGGUAGAGUCUCUUUUGCAGCAGCUCCAGCUGCAACAGCAGCAAUUUCACCAGCUCCAGCUGCAGCAACAUCGAUUUCAAAGACCUUCAGCAGCAACAGUAGGAAUUUAAAAAAUAGCUGCAAUUGCAAUAGCAGGAUUUCUUACAGCAAGUGGUAUGACAACAGAACCUGGGUCAAGGGGGUGGAGACUCUGUACACCCUAAGAGCAGGCCUGGGGUUCUGACCAAGAUGGGGCCAGCCGAUGACCCAGAAGCCUUUUUAGCCACGUUUGAAUGUGUGGCAGAGGCAUACGAGUGGGUCCGGGACACGUGAGCCAUGUGGGUGGCCCCACUUCUUACGGGGGAAGCCCAACCUGCUUAUCACGUGUUGGGGUUGGAGGCGGUUCGAGACUACAGGAUAAGUAAAGUGGCAAUUCUUGACUGCCUGAGCCUCACUGAGGAUGCUUACCAGGGCUGGUUUAGAACUGAGGCCUGCAACCAUCCCCAAGCUAUGGCUCAGAGACUAAAGGAUUGAUGUACCUGGUGGCUCCACCCAGGUAACCGAUCAGCGGGGAAGAUUGCAGAACUGGUGGCACUGGAGCAAUUUUGCAUUAUCCUCCUUGUAGAGAUGCAGAAGUGAGAAUAAAGCCUUUGCGUGGCCACUCUAAAAGAA
Alligator mississippiensis (American alligator) is the source of this 887-nucleotide long non-coding RNA. RefSeq lists it as uncharacterized. The transcript is spliced from 2 exons. Lineage: Eukaryota; Metazoa; Chordata; Crocodylia; Alligatoridae. The record is from RefSeq and is a predicted model, not a curated record.